GUGCAAUAUAGAUGGGUUUCCACACCUAUCCGCGGGCUAUCAUCGGUCUAAAUAGGUUGCACAGGAUCAUAGAAACACAACUAAACCAUUGGAAGAAAAGUAUUGGGACGAAAAUAAAAACUGAGUCUGGGCAUCUUCGAGCGGUUUUUAUGAGAAGAAACUUUAAUAUUACUCAAAGUGAGGCCGCCUAGAGUUAUCUGUGAAUUUUCGGGACGUUUCUCACAUGGGUAAAAAAUCGGCGACUUUUCGUAUGUUAAAGCCUUGGCCAUUUUGGACCGUUUUUGGCGCAACCGUUGCGCACCUCGAACGAGCCCCACCCGACCCCUAGGUCCUGGCCUUUUUUCUGUGUCGUAAAGGGUGCAAUAUAGAUGGUUUCCACACCUAUCCGCGGGCUAUCAUCGGUCUAAAUAGGUUGCACAAGAUCAAAGAAACACAACUAAACCAUGGGAAGAAAAGUAUUGGGACGAAAAUAAAAACUGAGUCUGGGCAUCUACGAGCGGUUUUUGUGGGAAGAAACUUUAAUAUUACUCAAAGUGAGGCCGCCUAGUAGUUAUCUGUGAAUUUUCAGGACGUUUC
This 576-nucleotide long non-coding RNA is filed under the name Cucumis sativus (cucumber). RNAcentral describes it as "long non-coding RNA (CSAT_LNC000810)". The record is from RNAcentral. Lineage: Eukaryota; Viridiplantae; Streptophyta; Magnoliopsida; Cucurbitales; Cucurbitaceae.